Molecule: transfer RNA, 64 nt
Filed under: Porotermes quadricollis
Lineage: Eukaryota; Metazoa; Arthropoda; Insecta; Blattodea; Termopsidae
Description: tRNA-Asp
Rfam family: tRNA
About the family: Transfer RNA (tRNA) molecules are approximately 80 nucleotides in length.
Source: RNAcentral
GAAGAUUUAGUUAAAGAAUAACGCUGGCUUGUCAAGCCAGAAUUAUCAUAAAAGAUAACCUUCU